UACGGGGGGGGCAAGCGUUGUUCGGAAUCACUGGGCGUAAAGGGCGUGUAGGCGGUCCGCUAAGUCUGAUGUGAAAGCCCGAGGCUUACCCUCGGAAGUGCAUUGGAGACUGGCGGACUGGAGUCCCGGAGAGGAGGGUGGAAUUCCUGGUGUAGCGGUGAAAUGCGUAGAUAUCAGGAGGAACACCGGUGGCGAAGGCGGCCCUCUGGACGGUGACUGACGCUGAGACGCGAAAGCGUGGGGAGCAAACAGG
Molecule: ribosomal RNA, 253 nt
Filed under: uncultured bacterium
Lineage: Bacteria
Description: partial 16S ribosomal RNA
Rfam family: Bacterial small subunit ribosomal RNA
Source: RNAcentral